GCAUAUCAAUAAGCGGAGGAAAAGAAACCAACAGGGAUUGCCUCAGUAACGGCGAGUGAAGCGGCAACAGCUCAAAUUUGAAAUCUGGCCCCCUCGGGGUCCGAGUUGUAAUUUGGAGAAGAUGCUUCGGGUGCGGCUCCGGUCUAAGUUCCUUGGAACAGGACGUCACAGAGGGUGAGAAUCCCGUACGUGCCCGGUGGUCGCCCCCGUGUGAAGCUCUUUCGACGAGUCGAGUUGUUUGGGAAUGCAGCUCUAAAUGGGUGGUAUAUUUCAUCUAAAGCUAAAUAUUGGCCAGAGACCGAUAGCGCACAAGUAGAGUGAUCGAAAGAUGAAAAGCACUUUGGAAAGAGAGUUAAACAGUACGUGAAAUUGUUGAAAGGGAAGCGCUUGCAACCAGACUUGCGCGCGGCCGAUCAUCCGGUGUUCGCACCGGUGCACUCGACCGCGCGCAGGCCAGCAUCGGUUUGGGUGGCUGGACAAAGGCCUCGGGAAUGUGGCUCCCCUCGGGGAGUGUUAUAGCCCGAGGUGCAAUGCAGCCUAUCCGGACCGAGGACCGCGCUUCGGCUAGGAUGCUGGCGUAAUGGUUGUAAGCGACCCGUCUUGAAACACGGACCAAGGAGUCUAACAUCUAUGCGAGUGUUUGGGUGUCAAACCCAUACGCGUAAUGAAAGUGAACGGAGGUGGGAACCCUUAAGGGUGCACCAUCGACCGAUCCUGAUGUCUUCGGAUGGAUUUGAGUAAGAGCAUAGCUGUUGGGACCCGAAAGAUGGUGAACUAUGCCUGAAUAGGGUGAAGCCAGAGGAAACUCUGGUGGAGGCUCGCAGCGGUUCUGACGUGCAAAUCGAUCGUCAAAUUUGGGCAUAGGGGCGAAAGACUAAUCGAACC
This 885-nucleotide ribosomal RNA is filed under the name Oidiodendron eucalypti. Its description in RNAcentral is "eukaryotic LSU rRNA". It matches the Rfam family "Eukaryotic large subunit ribosomal RNA", at positions 38 to 941 of the family's 3401-position model. The record is from RNAcentral. Lineage: Eukaryota; Fungi; Ascomycota; Leotiomycetes; Myxotrichaceae.